Molecule: small RNA, 254 nt
Filed under: Notechis scutatus (mainland tiger snake)
Lineage: Eukaryota; Metazoa; Chordata; Lepidosauria; Squamata; Elapidae
Description: 7SK RNA (ENSNSUG00000013069.1)
Rfam family: 7SK RNA (bases 1-180)
About the family: 7SK was discovered as an abundant small nuclear RNA in the mid-70s but a possible function has only recently been suggested. Two independent studies have found that 7SK RNA binds the CDK9/cyclin T complex (known as elongation factor P-TEFb).
Source: RNAcentral
GGAUGUGAGAGCAAUCUAGCUGUGACAUCUCUGACCCCAUUGAUUGCCAUGGCUGAUUUGCCUGAUCUGACUGGCUAGGUAGUGUCCCCUUCCUCCUUCACUGUGACAUGUGCAUCUCUUCCAAAUCUGUGCGCUCCAGGGAAGAGGACAACCUCAGGAGUGUACCAGUCUUCUGUGUAAUCCAAAUCACUUCACAGAACCUGUUGUAGGGACUAAAUCUGAAAUGCAUUGAUUUUUGAAAUGUAAUUUUCUUU